Molecule: long non-coding RNA, 634 nt
Filed under: Drosophila guanche
Lineage: Eukaryota; Metazoa; Arthropoda; Insecta; Diptera; Drosophilidae
Source: RNAcentral
GCGCAAUUUUCUAUAAAUUUUCAUCGAUUUGCCAGCCAUUGGGAUAUUGGCGACAUUUGCGUUUGGCAUUUUGCUGCGUCCUUCAAAAACACACAGACCAGAAGGAGCUGCUUAUGGCCUUGCCGUCCGUCUGCCAUAACUUCAGCUGCACUUGGAAUUAUUGUUGUGGCGCCACCACCCCCCACACGAAAUUGAAAACGCAUGGGGAUGGAUUUUUGGUAUUACUUCUAUACAAGUUUCCAAUCAACAACCGAAUGAAGUUUCCAUAAUGGUAAAUAAAUUAUGUUCCUCUCACUCUCGUUUGGGUUCAGUGGAAGCGGAGUGCCCGGAAAUGGGAGCUCGCCGUAACGGAAGCAGGCUGCAGCAUCAAAUUAAUGUCUCAGCUUGCCACAAAAUGGCCGACGUGGCACAAUUUAUGAUGCCCAAAGACAACUCUAAAGUGGCCCAGCGCCGCCGCCACUCUGCGGUGUGACAAUAAAAUGGCUUCAAAUAGCCAUAAAAACGAGUGGCCCAGGAGGAUGGGAAACCACCGACAAACCCAAAUCCAAACUGGCCGCCAAGUAAAGGACCACAAAAAGCAAAUGUUUCUCUUGCUCAAUACACAUAAACUUAUAAAAGUGAAAUAAUAAAUAAG